RNAcentral lists this ribosomal RNA (463 nucleotides) under Lacunicambarus mobilensis. Its description in RNAcentral is "partial large subunit ribosomal RNA". It matches the Rfam family "Bacterial large subunit ribosomal RNA", at positions 1953 to 2634 of the family's 2925-position model. The record is from RNAcentral. Lineage: Eukaryota; Metazoa; Arthropoda; Malacostraca; Decapoda; Cambaridae.
GAGGUAGCAUAAUCAUUAGUUUUUUAAUUGAAGGCUGGAAUGAAUGGUUGGACAAGAAAUAAUCUGUCUUAAUUAAAGAUAUUGAAUUUAACUUUUGAGUGAAAAGGCUUAAAUGAUCUGAGGGGACGAUAAGACCCUAUAAAACUUUAUAUUUAAGAGUAGAAGUUAGUUUUAUUUAAAGGUUGCUAUUUAUAAUAUUUGGUUGGGGCGACAGGGAUAAAAGAGAGUAACUGUCCUUUUUUUAUUACAAUAAUAUUUGGGUCGACGAUCCUAAAAAGGAUAGAAGAUUAAGUUACUUUAGGGAUAACAGCGUGAUUUUCUUUGAGAGUUCUUAUCGACAGGAAAGUUUGCGACCUCGAUGUUGAAUUAAAAGUUCUUUGUGGAGUAGAAGCUAUAAUAGAAGGUCUGUUCGACCUUUAAAAUUUUACAUGAUUUGAGUUCAGACCGGUGUGAGCCAGGUUGG